GUCCGUGCUCUGGGUUGAGGCGGCUGGGGCCGAGUUGGGGGGUGGGAGGCGCGGCGCUAUGGCCGAGGGCAGCGGGGAAGUAGUCGCCGUGCCCGCGACCGGGGCUGUCAACGGCCUCAACAAUGGGGCCGGCGGGACCUCGGCGCAGACUAACAACCCGCUAUCGCGGAAGCUGCGUAAGAUCCUGGACACACGGCUGGACAACGACAAGGAGAUGUUGGAAGCUCUCAAGGCACUCUCAACCUUUUUUGUUGAAAAUAGUUUGCGCACUCGAAGAAAUUUACGUGGAGAUAUUGAACGCAGAAGUUUAGCCAUCAAUGAAGAGUUUGUAAGCAUUUUCAAGGAAGUGAAGGAAGAACUUGAAAGCAUACAUGAAGAUGUUCAGGCAAUGAGCAGCUGUUGUCAAGAUAUGACAUGUCGCCUACAGGCAGCAAAGGAACAGACUCAAGAUUUAAUAACAAAAACCACUAAGCUUCAAGCUGAAAGUCAAACAUUAGAAAUAAGAGCACAAGUUGCAGAUGCCUUCUUAUCCAAGUUCCAGCUGACUUCUGAUGAAAUGAGUCUUCUCCGAGGUACAAGAGAAGGACCUAUCACUGAGGAUUUUUUCAAGGCAUUGGGAAGAGUAAAACAGAUUCAUAAUGAUGUCAAAGUUCUCUUGCGUACAAACCAACAAACAGCAGGUUUAGAAAUUAUGGAACAGAUGGCCUUGCUUCAAGAAACAUCUUAUGAAAGACUUUACCGGUGGGCUCAGAGUGAAUGCAGAACAUUGACACAAGAAUCAUGUGACAUAUCUCCAGUACUGACUCAGGCAAUGGAAGCCCUGCAGGAUAGACCUGUCUUAUAUAAGUAUACCUUAGAUGAAUUUGGAACAGCCAGAAGAAGUACAGUUGUUCGUGGAUUUAUCGAUGCUCUUACAAGAGGGGGCCCAGGAGGUACACCUAGACCCAUUGAAAUGCACUCCCAUGACCCUUUGAGAUAUGUAGGCGAUAUGUUGGCUUGGCUCCAUCAGGCCACUGCUUCUGAAAAAGAACACCUUGAAGCUCUCUUAAAGCAUGUAACUACACAAGGUGUUGAAGAAAAUAUUCAAGAAGUUGUUGGACAUAUUACUGAGGGUGUGUGCAGGCCUCUAAAGGUUCGAAUUGAACAAGUAAUAGUUGCUGAACCUGGGGCAGUUUUAUUAUAUAAAAUUUCUAACCUCCUCAAAUUUUAUCACCAUACAAUCAGUGGCAUUGUUGGAAAUAGUGCAACUACAUUGUUGACUACCAUUGAAGAAAUGCAUUUGCUGAGCAAAAAAAUAUUCUUCAGUAGCUUGAGUCUUCAUGCCAGCAAAUUAAUGGACAAGGUUGAACUCCCACCGCCUGAUCUUGGACCAAGUUCUGCAUUAAAUCAGACACUCAUGUUGUUGCGUGAAGUUUUGGCAUCUCAUGAUUCUUCAGUUGUACCAUUAGAUGCCCGUCAAGCCGAUUUUGUGCAGGUUUUAUCAUGUGUCUUGGAUCCUCUUCUCCAGAUGUGUACUGUAUCAGCCAGCAAUUUAGGCACGGCUGACAUGGCUACCUUCAUGGUCAAUUCACUAUAUAUGAUGAAGACAACAUUAGCUCUGUUUGAAUUCACUGACAGACGUCUGGAAAUGCUACAGUUCCAGAUUGAAGCACAUUUGGACACACUUAUAAAUGAGCAAGCUUCUUAUGUUUUAACUAGAGCAGGCGUGAGUUAUAUCUAUAACACCAUACAGCAACAUAAACCCGAACAGGGCCCUUUAGCUAAUUUUCCCAACCUAGAUUCUGUGGCACUGAAGGCUGCAAUGGUUCAGUUUGAUCGCUAUCUGUCAGCCCCAGACAACCUGUUAAUGCCACAGCUGAACUUUCUUCUUAGUGCCACAGUGAAGCAUACGGCUCCCGUUCCUGCUCUGAAUUCUGCCAGGAAAGCAGGACAAGUGCCAGUUGUCCAGCUUGCUUGGGUAGCCACACCAGGAGGAACUCUGGAGACGGUGGAGGAACAGGGAUCUCUCCUCUACAAGACUAGAGCUUUAUCUUCCAAAGUGGAGACCCCUGCCCCAGCAGGAGAUGCUGAAAGGCACUCGCCCCGCUCAGGUCACACUGCAAGAUUUCCAGGCACUUCUUUGUGCACCGUCUUGAUGUCGAGCAAGACCAGCCAGGUGUGAUUGUCCCGGAGGCAUCCAGACGGAGGCAGACUGUGCGCGCCCCUGCCACCCAGAGGUCACCACUGAGGAAGGACGUCUGCGCCUGUGUUCCUUGAGAAGAUAAGUUGCAGAUGACAGCGUCUGGAGUGGACCCACAGGUCCUGCUGGUCUCGGCCUGUGCCAGGAGAGAGCCGUUUCUGCCACCACACUUCAGAUAAGGAAACAGGCACAGUGAAGUUAAGCAACCAGCUCAACUAGCAGCAUAGUUGAAAGAAGUGGAAUCCGGAUUCCAGAGUCGGUAGCAUCUGAGCCCGUGGUUUUAAUCCCUUUGACAUGUAUUUCCAGGACAAGGUUGGAACAUAUGCUUACCUUGAAGGAAAAGCAGUGUCAGUACUGGCUACCUGGAGAGCUGUGAUGGAAACCUGUCUACGACUGGAAGCCGCUUUCCUGGCUGCUGGAGGGGAACACUCCUACUCCACGGAGUUCUCUUGAAGGGGCCUGACUGCCAGACUAGAAGACGAACACAGUGUCAAUCAGUACACCCAGGCCUCCAAAGAUGGAAGAGUUGUGAACCCACACCCGUCUGGUUAUGCCGCCCUGUCUGCAGCUAGAGCGUACGUCGUCCCGCAAACCGUUGUUGUGUGCUUUCUAGGUGCCGGUAUCAUACACAGCUCCGUAAUCUGUGUUCCUGCUGCAUCUAAGCCAUUAAUAAGACCAUGUGAAGCUAGAAAAGAACCAAGAGCCCAGCGUGACUGCCAAAGACAAAGAAAGAACAGCAGAGAAAGAAAACCGAGGGAAGAGUGGAGUCGAGAUGUGGUGCUGUUUCCAGCAUCUCAGCCCAGGGUCACACUUCCAGCUCUUCAGCAGAAAGGAAAAGUACAGCUGCACUGUGGACUCACAAGGAAGAUAGAGGAUUUCAUCUUGAAAGACAGAAAAUGAUCUCUCUCUGAGAAUCUGAAAGAAGGUGGGCUCACACUGGAACAUGCCUGAGAACUGCACGGGGCAGGAGAAGACAGCAGCAGUCCCUGGAAGGAAUGCGUGGGCAGAAGGGUUAUAGGAACUUUCAAGGCUUUUAUAAAAGGAUCGGAGAGAAAAGAAACAUAGGAGGCCCAUUAGUAAAUCAGAAGAAAGAUGGAUUUAAUGAUGCACAUGACAUUAUUGAGAUCAUGAACCGCAUCAUUAAAUUCAUCUUUUAAAAAGAAGAAAGAAAAUAUAUCCCCAGGAGUCU
Molecule: RNA transcript, 3368 nt
Organism: Balaenoptera ricei (Rice's whale)
Lineage: Eukaryota; Metazoa; Chordata; Mammalia; Artiodactyla; Balaenopteridae
Gene: COG6
Gene name: component of oligomeric golgi complex 6
Exons: 27
Source: RefSeq, a predicted model, not a curated record